GACGAACGCUGGCGGCGUGGAUUAGGCAUGCAAGUCGAACGGUAUCAUCCUUUCGGGGGUGAGAGAGUGGCGAACUGGUGAGUAACACGUAGGUUAUCUACCCUCAAGACGGGGACAACCCAGGGAAACUUGGGCUAAUACCGGAUGUGAGCAACUUUUAGUUGUUUGAAAGGUGGCGUAAGCUGUCGCUUGGGGAUGAGCCUGCGUCCUAUUAGUUAGUUGGUGAGGUAACGGCUCACCUAGGCAAUGAUAGGUAGGCGGCCUUAACGGGUGGUCGCCCACACUGGGAUUGAGAUACGGCCCAGACUCCUACGGGAGCAGCAGUCGAGAAUAGUCUACAAUGGUCGGAAGACUGAUAGUGCGACGCCGCGUGAACGAUGAAUCCCUUCGGGGUUAAAGUUCUUUUAUAUGUGAGCAGUGCUUCUUAUAUUAACAGUAUGGGGAAGAGAUAUUAGCAUAUGAAUAAGCAACGGCUAACUCCGUGCCAGCAGCCGACGGUAAACACG
RNAcentral lists this ribosomal RNA (506 nucleotides) under uncultured bacterium. RNAcentral's name for it is "bacterial SSU rRNA". It matches the Rfam family "Bacterial small subunit ribosomal RNA", at positions 28 to 527 of the family's 1533-position model. The record is from RNAcentral.